Long non-coding RNA from Oreochromis aureus, 428 nucleotides. Lineage: Eukaryota; Metazoa; Chordata; Actinopteri; Cichliformes; Cichlidae. The record is from Ensembl.
GGCAACCAGACAACAGCUACAAAAUGCUUCCUAGUUUCUCUAAACAAACUGCAUAAGUUGGCAGCUCAGACCUUCGACUGAAUGCAUGCAUCUGAUAUCAGCUUCAGAGGAGGGUGUGACCAAGAAACCGAGAGCUCAAAGAGGUACAUCUGCAACAAGAACUCAAACAAUGGAAUUUGGAGUCAGGCUGGUGGCUCAGGAAGAUCCAGUCAUUCCAUUGUUAUCUAGAAGAAGGUUGGGGAUUUAGUUGUCCUUGAAGACACAAGGGGGACUGAGUGCACCUGGACAAAAGUUGCAGUUUUGAUCUUUGCUGAAGACUCAAGACCACACAGGUGGUGGUGUCUCUUGAAGGCUGACAGCAUGUGAUGCCAGUAAGUGCUACCACAUACCUUGUUUGAUGACUCAAGAAGAAAAUGUGUGCUCUGGAU